UACGUAGGGUGCAAGCGUUGUCCGGAAUCAUUGGGCGUAAAGCGCGCGUAGGCGGCCCGAUAAGUCCGCUGUAAAAGUCAACGGCUCAACUGUUGAAAGCCAGUGGAUACUGUCGGGCUAGAGUACGGAAGAGGCAAGUGGAAUUCCUGGUGUAGCGGUGGAAUGCGCAGAUAUCAGGAGGAACACCUAUAGCGAAGGCAGCUUGCUGGGACGUUACUGACGCUAAGGCGCGAAAGCGUGGGGAGCGAACAGG
This 253-nucleotide ribosomal RNA is filed under the name uncultured bacterium. Its description in RNAcentral is "partial 16S ribosomal RNA". It matches the Rfam family "Bacterial small subunit ribosomal RNA", at positions 524 to 776 of the family's 1533-position model. The record is from RNAcentral.